GACGAACGCUGGCGGCGUGCUUAACACAUGCAAGUCGAACGGAAAGGCCUGCUUUCCCUUGUGGAUUGCGGGUACUCGAGUGGCGAACGGGUGAGUAACACGUGAGUGAUCUGCCCCCAACUUGGGUAUAAGCCUGGGAAACUGGGUCUAAUUCCCGAUAGGACUGCAGGGUGGUGCCUGUGGUGGAAAACGAUUUUCUAGUGGUUGGGGAUGAGCGCGCGGCCUAUCAGCUUGUUGGUGGGGUAAUGGCCUACCAAGGCGGCGACGGGUAGCCGGCCUGGGAGGGUGGACGGCCACAUUGGGACUGAGAUACGGCCCAGACUCCUACGGGAGGCAGCAGUGGGGAAUAUGGCACAAUGGGCGGAAGCCUGAUGCAGCGACGCCGCGUGGGGGAUGACGGCCUUCGGGUUGUAAACUCCUUUCGACCGCGAGGAAGCCACCUGGUUGGAAGGGUGGUGACGGUAGUGGUAGAAGAAGCACCGGCUAACUACGUG
RNAcentral lists this ribosomal RNA (494 nucleotides) under uncultured bacterium. Its description in RNAcentral is "partial 16S ribosomal RNA". It matches the Rfam family "Bacterial small subunit ribosomal RNA", at positions 28 to 507 of the family's 1533-position model. The record is from RNAcentral.